Molecule: long non-coding RNA, 305 nt
Filed under: Homo sapiens (human)
Lineage: Eukaryota; Metazoa; Chordata; Mammalia; Primates; Hominidae
Description: HSALNT0195603
Source: RNAcentral
AAAGGAAGAGUUCUGCUACUUACAGACUGUUUGAAGACUGCUGCUCUGAUCAUAGCUUGAUUAAUUUUUCCAUCAAGAGAAUGGCACUACAUAUUUUGUAGAGGCAAAAGUAAUACAGAAUUUGCCUAAUGGAAUGCUUCCAAGGUUACCGUGAGGAUGAAUGGACUAGCAUUCAAAAAGCACUUCUGAAUCCUGGACAGGCUGAAGUGGAGGGCAAGUCUAUUGUUAUUCAUCCUAACAAUAGUAAUUGAUUGCUGGGGAGGGGGGCUUCCCAUGAUAACCUUUUAAUUUUCCUAUGAAAAACU